Molecule: small nucleolar RNA, 102 nt
Organism: Cercocebus atys (sooty mangabey)
Lineage: Eukaryota; Metazoa; Chordata; Mammalia; Primates; Cercopithecidae
Source: Ensembl
CUAAAUCAUAUUAUAAGUAUCUCCAUUUAAGAGCAUGUGCUUGCGCAUAACUGGGGCCGCUUGGCCCCCCGCGGGCGGCCCUUUUAACCGCGAGCGACAAUU